UGCCAGACUCCUACGGGAGGCAGCAGUGGGGAAUAUUGCACAAUGGGGGGAACCCUGAUGCAGCGACGCCGCGUGAGUGAAGAAGUAUUUCGGUAUGUAAAGCUCUAUCAGCAGGGAAGAAAAUGACGGUACCUGACUAAGAAGCCCCGACUAACUACGUGCCAGCAGCCGCGGUAAUACGUAGGGGGCAAGCGUUAUCCGGAUUUACUGGGUGUAAAGGGAGCGUAGACGGCAGAGCAAGUCUGAAGUGAAAGCCCGGGGCCCAACCCCGGGACUGCUCUGGAAACUGCGUCGCUGGAGUACGGGAGGGGCAGGCGGAAUUCCUGGUGUAGCGGUGAAAUGCGUAGAUAUCAGGAGGAACACCGGCGGCGAAGGCGGCCUGCCGGACCGUGACUGACGUUGAGGCUCGAGAGCGUGGGGAGCAAACAGGAUUAGAUACCCGGGUA
RNAcentral lists this ribosomal RNA (446 nucleotides) under uncultured bacterium. RNAcentral describes it as "bacterial SSU rRNA". It matches the Rfam family "Bacterial small subunit ribosomal RNA", at positions 329 to 792 of the family's 1533-position model. The record is from RNAcentral.